CAGCCGCCGCGGUAAUACGGAGGGAGCUAGCGUUAUUCGGAAUUACUGGGCGUAAAGCGCACGUAGGCGGCUUUGUAAGUAAGAGGUGAAAGCCCAGAGCUCAACUCUGGAAUUGCCUUUUAGACUGCAUCGCUUGAAUCAUGGAGAGGUCAGUGGAAUUCCGAGUGUAGAGGUGAAAUUCGUAGAUAUUCGGAAGAACACCAGUGGCGAAGGCGGCUGACUGGACAUGUAUUGACGCUGAGGUGCGAAAGCGUGGGGAGCAAACAGGAUUAGAUACCCCCGUAGUCCCUGUCUCUUAUAC
Molecule: ribosomal RNA, 301 nt
Filed under: uncultured bacterium
Lineage: Bacteria
Description: partial 16S ribosomal RNA
Rfam family: Bacterial small subunit ribosomal RNA
Source: RNAcentral